ACUGUGGGCAGUGGUGUGCCCCUGUAAUCCUAUCUACUUGGGAGGCUGAGGGUGGGAGGUUUGGGCUGCAAUACGCUAUGCCCAUCAUGUGUCUACACUAAGUGGAGCAUCAAUAUGGCGACCUGUAGUGGGGAACCACCAAGUUGCCUAAGAAGGGGUAAACCAGCUCGGAUUAGAAAUGGAGUAGGCUAAAACUCCAGGGCUGACUAGUAGUGGGAUUGUACCUCUGAAUAGCCACUGUGCAUUCCUGUCUGGGCACCCAAGU
This is a non-coding RNA of Otolemur garnettii (small-eared galago), 265 nucleotides long. NCBI's taxonomy places the organism in Eukaryota, Metazoa, Chordata, Mammalia, Primates, Galagidae. The record is from Rfam.